GAGUUUGAUCAUGGCUCAGGAUGAACGCUAGCGGCAGGCUUAACACAUGCAAGUCGAGGGGUAUAGUUCUUCGGAAUUAGAGACCGGCGCACGGGUGCGUAACGCGUAUGCAAUCUACCUUUCACAGAGGGAUAGCCCAGGGAAAUUUGGAUUAAUACCUCAUAGUAUUACGGAAUGGCAUCAUUUUAUAAUUAAAGUCACAACGGUGAAAGAUGAGCAUGCGUCCCAUUAGCUAGUUGGUAAGGUAACGGCUUACCAAGGCUACGAUGGGUAGGGGUCCUGAGAGGGAGAUCCCCCACACUGGUACUGAGACACGGACCAGACUCCUACGGGAGGCAGCAGUGAGGAAUAUUGGACAAUGGGCGCAAGCCUGAUCCAGCCAUGCCGCGUGCAGGAUGACGGUCCUAUGGAUUGUAAACUGCUUUUGCACAGGAAGAAACAACGCUACGUGUAGCGUCUUGACGGUACUGUGAGAAUAAGGAUCGGCUAACUCCGUGCCAGCAGCCGCGGUAAUACGGAGGAUCCAAGCGUUAUCCGGAAUCAUUGGGUUUAAAGGGUCCGUAGGCGGUUUAGUAAGUCAGUGGUGAAAGCCCAUCGCUCAACGGUGGAACGGCCAUUGAUACUGCUAGACUUGAAUUAUUAGGAAAGUACUAGAAUAUGUAGUGUAGCGGUGAAAUGCUUAGAGAUACAUGGAAUACCAUUUGCGAGGCAGGUACUACUAAUGG
This 725-nucleotide ribosomal RNA is filed under the name uncultured bacterium. Its description in RNAcentral is "bacterial SSU rRNA". It matches the Rfam family "Bacterial small subunit ribosomal RNA", at positions 9 to 738 of the family's 1533-position model. The record is from RNAcentral.